GUGUGUGUGUGUGAGUUUGUAAAACCUACCAACCGGGGAAAAUCGUAUGAAUACACACCAACUAACCGGGGAACACCUACCAACCGGGGAAUUCCCCGGUUGGUUUUAGGCGAAAAUCUCUAAUCUACGUGUAUGAAAUACCAAACUGUCAAUUUAAAUUAGAAAUUCAACGCCUUCCCCGAUUAGCGGGUUUGUGGCAUGCACAAAAUAUACACAAAUCUUGACCAAAUUACAAUCGAGUGUGUAUCCAGGCUUAUAACAGUUCCCCGGUUGCGCUGUUUAAAAAUCAUACACUCGGUAUUGAUAUCAUUUAGUGAAAGUAAGUUGGAAAAAUGGAGUUUCGAGCGAACAAACGCAUUAAACUAAGGUAAGUUUUUUAAUUAUGUUUACAACUUUCAAUUACUAUUAAAAAGCGUUUUUAUGUAAACGUUAAAGUAAUACUGGAAGACGAAUUCUAAAGAUCGAUUUAUAUAAAUAUCAUUUGAUUACAAAGCUUUUUUUACGGUACAUUUUUCACGAAUAUAUUUUAUAAAUAUACGUUAAUAAUAUAUGUAGUGGAGCUAUCCUACUCACCCCGGCGUCGGCGUUAACGUGAGCGUUAGCGUGAGCGUGAGCGUUGGAAUGUUAAAGUUUGCGUACCACCUCAAAUAUUGUUUAUGUCCCUUGAGAUAUUGCUUUUAUAUUUAGCAUACUUCUUUACCAACAUGACCCCAAUCUAUAAACAAGAGCAGACAACUGUAAGAAGCAUUUUGUAAGAAUUAUGGCCCCUUUUUCACUUAAAAUAUGCAUAUUAUUGAUAAAUCUUUGUUAAAGUUUACGUACCACCGCAAAUACUUUCUAUGUCCCUUGACAUAUUGCUUUUAUAUUUUGCAUUCUUCUUUACCAACAUAACCCCAAUCGAUAAACAAGAGCAGACAACUGUAACAAGCAUUUUGUAAGCAUUAUGGCCCCUUUUCCACUUAGAAUAUGCAUAUUAUUGAUAAAUCUUUAUUAAAGUUUGCGUACCACCUCAAAUAUUUUCUUUGUCCCUUGAAAUAAGGUUUCAUAUUUUGCACACUUCUUUACCAACAUGACCCCAAUCUAUAAACAAGAGCAGACAACUGUUAAAACCAUUUUGUAAGAAUUAUGGCCCCUUUUUUCUCUUAGAAUAUGCAUAUUAUUAAUAAUUCUUUGUUAAAGUUUGCGUACAACCUUAAAUAUUUUCUUUGUCCCUUGACAUAUUGCUUUCAUAUUAUCCAUACUUCUUUACCAACAUGACCCCAAUCUAUAAACAAGAGCAGACUACUGUAAACAACAUUUUGUAAGAAAUAUGGCCCUUUUUCCACUUAGUAACUUUGAAUAUUUUGUUAAAUUUUGUGUUUACAUCGACUUUACUUCUAAAGUAUCAAGGCUAUUGCUUUCAAACUUCAAAUACUUUCUUACUAUCAUGAGGGUACUGCACCUGGCAAGUUGAAUUUUACCUUGACCUUUGACCUUGAAUCUGAAGGUGAAAUUAAUAAAUUUUGAUUAAAUUGCCAUAACGUCUUUAUUUAGGAUCAGAUUUGAUUCAUACUUUGACAAAACAACACUUACCUGAUAUAUCACAACGGACUUCACCCAAACCAUCCCACACGCCCCACCCUAGAAAUCCCCCCCCCAAAAAAAAGUUGUUGUUUUCCUUAUUUUUUUAACAUGUUAAAAAAAGCAAUUUUUUUUUCUUAAGACCGUCCAACCAUCCCACCCAAGCUAUUGCUAUCAAACUUGAAAUACAAUCUUAUUAGUUUGUUUUAUGUCUUUACAAAUGUUCAAUACAUAUGUUUUGUGGAAACCUGAACUCAGAAUCGUCUAUAAUGUACCACUUCUUUAAAACAUAAGCGAUCAAUAUGUUUGGUUCAAACUUAUUUAUUACGACAUAGGAACAUAUUCACAAGUUACAUGACAUUGACAUAGGAUCAAUAUGUUUCAAUUAUGGUCCUCUUCCAGUUAGAAUAUGACUAUAGUACCUUGACCUUAUUGAAUAUGAUCAAUUUCCCCAUGGUGGCUUAUUUAUACUGUCAAGCACUUGAAUAGUCGAGCGCGCUAUCUUCUGACAGCUCUUGUGGUUUUUCUCAUCGACAUUUCCAUUUUAACAUUUAGUAGCCAAAAGGGUCCAAGUCCCCUUGGUCUCGCAAGAACGUACUGCCAGAAUUACGUUGAUCCACCAGGUUUUGAAGUAAAAACCGUCAAUGAUGUCAUAGGCGAAGGAGUCUUUGCCACUAAGCCUUUAAAAAAAGUAGACUUUCUUCUCGAAUACAAAGGGGAUCUGAUUACACGAGAAAAACAUGCACGGCAAUUAGAAAAGGAGUAUGAAAAGAAAUGUCAAGGCAGCUUCAUUUACUUUUUAAAUACAGAGACAAAUCUUGCUGCAUUGACGCAACCAACGAUAUAUUUCAUGAGGGUCGAAUGAUAAAUGAUGCCGAAAAUGGAGACGCAAAACAAAAUUGUGUAAUGAAAAUAGUUGAAGUCAACUAAACUCCCCAUCUAUGCACUUUCGCCAACAGAGACAUUGCAAUUGGCGAGGAACUCUGAUAUGAUUAUGGAGUACCAACACUUCCAUGGAGAAAGUUUUAUGAUAACAUUUAUGUUCAUUCAUGAGUUAUUCAUUUUAAAUACAGAUAUUCAAAUAUCUUUUUGCCGUGAAUUAAAAUGUUUUAUCAUUGAACGUCGUCAAGCUCUACUUUAAUGCGGUUUGUCUGAUAAUGUGUAUUUGUUAUUUGAAUUGUCAGAAAUGCACGGAGCAAAAAAUGGGUAUGUUUCACAGUGAUUUGUUAUUACUACACAUGCAUUAAUACAAAUUCGUUGUACUUAAUGGUUUCAUAACUAACGAACUUUCUAACACUGACUAGAUUAUGUGUAAUACCAAUUGUUAUUGUGGUUUUGAAUAGGCAACACAAUGACUACUAGAUCUACGGACAGCCAGGAACCAGGACAAACAACAUCCAUACACACGGAAGAAGUCAAUGAGACGAAAUGUACGGAACAAAAAAGGGCAACCCAAUAUUUACUAGAUCUACGGACAGCCAGGAACCAGGACAAACAACAUCCGUACACACGGAAGAAGUCGAUGAGACGAAUAGGGUACUUCAAAUACCAGGAGAGCAAUACAAGCAGCCGAAAAGCAAUGGAGUGAAAACGAAAAAGGAGCUGUUCACAGACACUUUGAUCGUUUUUUUGAUAAUGGGUAAAUUACCAGGGAAAAAAGAAAUACUUGCAUGUAUUGAAAGUGAGAAUGACCUUCACAACAGAAGUUGGAAAAAUGUCAAAGACUUUUGCAGAAAUUUAAUUGAAACAAAAAAGCGACGGGGACUUAUUACUUUAAAAAGUAUUACACAUAUAAUGCACGUUUAGGAAAAUACGUUAAAGGAUGAAGUUGCCACAUUUUUUUUGUGUUUUCUUGUUCUAUAUACUCUUUUCGAAAACGAUACAUGUGUGCUUAUUCUAUUUGAAUGUUUUAUUAAUACGGUUCAGUCAAAAACGAUAUUUGUUCAUAAUCAUAUCGCCGAACAAAUUAGGAUUGGUAUAUAGUUCGGCCAAAGAGUGUUUCUUUGUACUUUCUAUUACGAGUUUCUACGAGUUACUCACUAUACAAGUUAUUUUUUACCCUAAACUUGGUGAAUAUGAAUGAAUAUAGCAAACAUGAUAACAUAUCAAUCUAGAAGGCUAAACAUUCAGAGAAGGCACAAAAAAAUUCAGUCGAAUAAAUGGAAACAAACAUUUUGUUCAAGCAUAACAAACAAACACUUUUAGAUGUAAAAAGAUAAAUGUAAAUAACAUAAAAAAAAAACUACUGCUAAACUACUGCUACAAUAUGAAGAAUACAAAUGAAUAUUUUGUCAAUUUUACCAAAUUUGUUUUGAAUGACAGGUGUCUGACUUGCAGUUGAGUACUUAAUAGUUAUUUUAAAGUAAAAAUUUACCAAAAUGUAAAUUAUUGCGUAAAUAUCGCACUAGAAUUGAUUAAAUAGUUGUUAAAUAUUACAAUAAUUUCCUACACAGAUUUUUGUGCAAAUGUUUUGUGUGUAGAUAUUCACAUUAACUAUCAAUUCACAUAUUUGCUUUGUGUAUAUUAUUGGUAUGUUUAAAUGUUUUUCAUAUCAAAAUUGCUUGAUCUACAAAAAUUCGCGAGGAGUUCUGCAUUUUUCCCAUGUUUUUAAUUAAAGUUUAUAAUUCAACGACGAAGAAAGUUACUAAGAUGCCAGACUUAGUUAUGUUUUUGUCUCGUUUAUGGUUAAAGAUCAAUUAACAUACCCAUUUCCCAGACUAAGAUAUUGUUAAAACAAUUUAUCGCGUUUGCGACUGACCUCUUUUAUGCAUUCUAACACAAGCUAUUUACUUGUUUUUUCGAAUACUCUUCAUAUACACACACUUGAACAAGCUGUAGAUUACCUAGAACAAAACAUAUUUGAAACAUAUAUUUAUAUGUGAUAUGUAAAUGCAUGCACAAAGCUAAUAAUUAAUCAUGUUUAUACACUUUGCGAUAUGAUGCUAUAAUGUCGGUUGUUUUAAGUGAUUAAUCAUUAUUUUAACCAUGUUGUCUGCCAUCUGGAAUGUAAUUAAGUGUUUUGACAUGUAUGCGAAAUUGAUCUUGUUCGAUUUGGUGCUGUAUAUUCAGAAUUGAGUCACACUGUUAUAAUUUUCCUGUUGGUACAUAUUAUUUUUAAGUUGGCACCAACAAGGGUCUAACAAUUGAUCCACAUGUGCACUCCCAGUAAGUAUAUAUACUAUAAUGUAAAUGAUUAAAAAUAAUUUUAAA
Molecule: long non-coding RNA, 4770 nt
Organism: Dreissena polymorpha
Lineage: Eukaryota; Metazoa; Mollusca; Bivalvia; Myida; Dreissenidae
Exons: 6
Source: RefSeq, a predicted model, not a curated record